UACGUAGGGGGCAAGCGUUGUCCGGAUUUAUUGGGCGUAAAGAGCGUGUAGGCGGCUUUACAGGUCCGUUGUGAAAACUCGAGGCUCAACCUCGAGAUGUCGGCGGAAACCAUCUGGCUAGAGUCCGGAAGAGGAGAGCGGAAUUCCUGGUGUAGCGGUGAAAUGCGCAGAUAUCAGGAAGAACACCCGUGGCGAAGGCGGCUCUCUGGGACGGUACUGACGCUGAGACGCGAAAGCGUGGGGAGCGAACAGG
This 253-nucleotide ribosomal RNA is filed under the name uncultured prokaryote. RNAcentral's name for it is "partial 16S ribosomal RNA". It matches the Rfam family "Bacterial small subunit ribosomal RNA", at positions 524 to 776 of the family's 1533-position model. The record is from RNAcentral.